CGAACGGUAGUAUGGUGCUUGCACUAUAUGAGAGUGGCGGACGGGUGAGUAACACGUAGAUAAUCUACCCUUGUGUUGGGGAUAGCUUAUGGAAACAUAGGGUAAUACCGAAUACGGUCUUAGAAUCGAUAGGGUUUUAAGAAGAAAGGUGCUACGGCAUCGCACGAGGAGGAGUCUGCGGUAGAUUAGCUAGUUGGUAAGGUAAAGGCUUACCAAGGCGACGAUCUAUAGCCGGCCUGAGAGGGUGAACGGCCACACUGGGACUGAGAAUGGCCCAGACUCCUACGGGAGGCAGCAGCUAAGAAUCUUCCGCAAUGGACGAAAGUCUGACGGAGCGACGCCGCGUGAACGAAGAAGGCA
Molecule: ribosomal RNA, 360 nt
Filed under: uncultured Spirochaeta sp.
Lineage: Bacteria; Pseudomonadati; Spirochaetota; Spirochaetia; Spirochaetales; Spirochaetaceae
Description: bacterial SSU rRNA
Rfam family: Bacterial small subunit ribosomal RNA
Source: RNAcentral